Long non-coding RNA from Mesocricetus auratus (golden hamster), 1911 nucleotides. RefSeq lists it as uncharacterized. The record is from RefSeq and is a predicted model, not a curated record. NCBI's taxonomy places the organism in Eukaryota, Metazoa, Chordata, Mammalia, Rodentia, Cricetidae. The transcript is spliced from 3 exons.
GGGGGGAGGAGCGUGGGUCAUGUGACCCGGAAGCCUGCUGACUGCUGGGAGCCGGCCAGCUUUCAACGGUGACAGGUCGCCAGUGCUCAGGGUUUCUGCCUGUAAUUUAGUCGGAGCAAUGAGGCAGGAGGCUGGCUGUAAUCGUGCAGCAGAAGAGAGCUACGCGCCAAGACUGAUUUCUGUGUUCACUUCAGAACUGCUCUCGCACCGGGAAACCGCUCCACCCUCGGAGAUCUGUGCCUGUCCCCGGGAACCGAGUUUUUGAACAAUCUGUCAGCCAAACCGGCAGUGCUGUGAGGACUAAAGUCUGCCCCUCCGCCCCAAGUUUGCGUGUAGAACCUUUAACCCCCGAUAUCUCAGAAUGUGCCUGCAUUUGGAGCUUCAAAGAUGUAAUUAAGGCAAAAUGAAGUCGUCAGAUGGGUGCUUUUAAACCAACAUGACUGGUGCUUUUGUUUAAAUACAGAUAGGGGCAUUAAGUUCCCAGCCUGCCGGGUGGUCAUCUACCAGCCAGAGAGGCCUAGAAGAAACAGCCCUGGUACAGCGAGAUGGCUCUGGUAUCCUUCUGUAAAUAAAGUUACGAGGUGGUUUGUGAGGCGCCCUGUUCAGGCUUAGGGAUGAGAAGAACGUUGACAUGAGACUUGAGGAGAAACCAGCUGCCAUGCUACCAAGCCACUCAACAAGACCUUGGAGACACUGCUGCCUUCUGAAGACUGAGCCUCCUGCCAAUAGCCUGUAAGUAACUGAGUUGGUCCAGUAGUCAAAAGAAUGAAUGUAAAACAUGCCUCUCCCAAAUAUGCCACUCUGGCCUGCUGUUCUGAGAAAGCUGAUUCAGCAACGACUUCAAGAAACACUCAUUACCUUUGUAAAAGGAGAUGAAAGCCAGCCAGCAUUGGGGAGAGAGGGUGCCCUCCCUGAUCCAUACUCCUGUCACUAGAGGUGAGAAGUAAAGCUGGAAGAAAUCUGUACAAAUCUGCCUUGUUAACUAAUCCUUCCUAGUCAUUCCUGCCAUAACUAACCUCUUGUGAUGUUUUUCUGUCAGCUUAGCAGCUGCACACAAAUCUACUUCUAUUUUAAUUAUCCUGUGCGGGCCCACGGCCACUCAGUCAACACCCAGCCAGUCACUCAGGCCACAACCAAGAGGGCCUUCCAGUCCUGCUCUGGCUCUGCUGAGCUGCGGGUUUAAACUAAGUCUCUAUUGUUCUGUUUACCAACAAAUAAGUGUAAGUCAGAUGUGGGGGUGAAAACAUAUUAGAUCAGAGAAGCCAAGAAGCAACCAGCUGACCUUGCUUUUUAGCCAGAGACCAUCUCUUCACUCCUCCCAAAACAGAAGGAAGUGCCAAACUCCAGUCCCCACUCUUUCCUUCCUGUGUGUCUUCUCUAUCCAUAGUCCUGGCUUCUCUAUGGCCAAUUCCAGUCAGCUAGUCCCCGCUACCUCAUUCAGACCAGAAAGCAUUUAAUUGGGAGCUUGCUUAUAGUUUUAGAGUUAGUCUGUGAUCAUCGUGGCAGGAAGCAGGCGCAUGGUACUGGAGCAGUAGCUGAGAGCUUUACAUCCUGACCCAAGGACAACAGUCACUCCUGAGGUCUGGUGUGGACUUCUGACACCUGAAAGCCCACCCCCAGUGACACACAUCCUCUCCAAGGCCACACUGCUUAGUCCCUCCUCAACAGGUAUAAGCAUUCAAACACGAGCCUAUGGGGGCCAUUCUCAUCUAAACCACCACACUGGCCUUUGUCCAACAACGCAGAAUAUUUUUUCCUUUUUUUUUGACACAACCCUGCCGGCCUGCUGUGCAAAACAUAUAGCCAAUAAAUAGGUGUGGUAUUCCCAUUAAUGUGUCACUGGUGAGUCUCAUCACACUCCCUACCAAAAACUCCAGCACCCCAGACACCAUAGGUAGAAUUUUUCCACCC